GCUGUUGUACUGAAUGUUUUCUAUAUAUUAGGUCCUGUAGGACAGUCCCCCACACCCACCACCUGUACUGGGGAUUGAAGCCAGGGCCUUCACAUUGAGCUACACCUCUUGCUCGCUCUUUCUUUCUUUCUUCCUUUCUUUUUGAGACAGGCUCUUGCUAAAUUGCCCAGGCUGGACUUGAAUUUACGAUCCUCCUGCCUCAGCCUCCUUUGCAUCCUGCAAAAAGCAUGUUUUCUUGAUUUGAUCCAUUUUACAAGUGAGGAACCUGAGUCAUUGCUGGGAGGAACAAGGACCCAGGACUGGCAGCCCCCUCAGCCUGAAGCAAAGCAGAAAGUGCAGGACCAGGCAGCCUUUUUCCUCCCCCUUCUCUAGCAGGGGAGAUGGAGGCUCCCACAGCAAAGAGGGCUGUUCCAGGCCCUCAGCCUUCCGGUCGGGCCGGGCUCCACACCUCCGGAGACCCCAGCAGUGGCGUGUGGGGGUCCUGUGGGGGAGCGCUGGACACCCGCAGGCAGGGUGGACGUCUGCCCCAGUUUGCAGAGGAACAGAGUCUCAGGACAGAGGCUGGCUUGUCCAAGGUCCCACGGGGAACAAGGAGUGCAGGUGACAUGGGAAGCCGGGCCGUGCCCCUCCCGGGGUUGAGGGCGACGUCUGGAGGAGCGAGGAGGAAGGGCGGAGGCCUCUGGGCACCGGCUCCCCACAUCCCGGGUUAACCAUCCACCGGGGCUGCCCAGCAAGCGGCCAAAGUCCCUUCCCGGGGAACCCAGACCACACACCCAGUCUCAGGGUCACAGAGACACCAAAGAGUCGCAGAUCCGGAGGGAAAGGGACAGGAGGCCAUCCGCGCACUCGGGAAGGCUGAGGCGGGCGGAGGGCAUGUUCGAGCCCAGUCCUAGAGGGAAGUUGGAGACGGAGGGGCAGAGUAGCAGAGACCAAGGGACACCCAGUCAGGGACCCAGACAG
Molecule: long non-coding RNA, 960 nt
Filed under: Fukomys damarensis (Damara mole-rat)
Lineage: Eukaryota; Metazoa; Chordata; Mammalia; Rodentia; Bathyergidae
Description: lncRNA (ENSFDAG00000030851.1)
Source: RNAcentral